Non-coding RNA from Chelonoidis abingdonii (Abingdon island giant tortoise), 1408 nucleotides. Lineage: Eukaryota; Metazoa; Chordata; Testudines; Testudinidae. The record is from RefSeq and is a predicted model, not a curated record.
GUUGUCUCCGUUUUAUGGCUGGGGAGUGGGGAUGCAGCGAAAGCCAGCAACUUGCCGAAGAUUCACAUGCCGCAGGGAUCAAAGGCCUGACGCAGCCUGGCUCUGAGACUUUGCAGCGGUGGAAUUGCUUAAGGAAGAACUUAAAAGAGAGUUUCCCCUGUGGAGCAGGCCUUCCCCCAGGGAAUUUCUGGGCAGCUCUGAGGAACAUCUUCUGCAGGGCUUCCCCGGAACCACCACGCAUGGCAGCGCCAAAACAGAAACUGCAGCAGGGAACUGGAAACCACCAAGCACAUGCAGGAGGCUGCCUCUGAGGCAGGGCCCAGCUCUGGCUGCAGGAGGGAGAAGCGCCAGCUGUUGCUGAAUGCUGAGUUUCUCCAUUGUGCAGGUCUCGGACUAUAUUGUACCGAAGGCGUGGCUGCCCCGGCUGCUACCUAGCACACUGUGGCAAUGAGGAUUGUGGAUCCUUCUGUUACGAAUGCACAAACCCUUCUGCUUGAUGUGAUGGAGACUCUCUGUGAGCUGCUAACAGCAUAGGGUCUAGGCGUAGGGUACAGUCAAAACAGUUCUGAGUCCCUCCAGCAGGGGGCAGGUGUCCACCGACCAGCCCCCUGCCGGCACUAGGGAACCCACCGCAGUAAGAGACAGGUGCAGCUGUCUGACCCACCCCUCUCUAUUCACUUGUAACACGGUGGGAGGAGUCCGCUUUGGGAUUGUUUCAGGGUGAGGUUCUGCCUAUAAUUUGCUUUAUUUUCUUCCUUUCAGUGCCUGUUUUGAGUUGGGGAGGGAAGGAGGGUAAGGGACGCACUGGCCCCUCCACAGUUUAAAAUUCUCAAGGUUGCCUACUUUUGGGGCCAGCGCCCAUGUCUUCGAGGGGUUCAUACAGCACCUAGCGUAACAAGGCCUUGAGCCCAGGGCGACGGGGUGCUGCACAUUACCAGAGUCAGCGUGGCCAAUGUCGGUGACUUUUAUCACACAGCCUGUGAUGGGUUUUGGUGGCUGAGUUUUCCUUCCACCUGCAGCUCCUCCAUGAGAAUCCAAGUGCUCGUCUUUGUUGUUUGUCCAGCCCUAGCCUCUGGGGAGAAAAGCUUGCAGAUGAUCCAAGUCCCACCUAAAGGAGCAGCAGCAACUAAAAAGAAACCCGGGGGCGGGGAGAAUCUCAUACCUUUUAAGCCAGUCUCACACCUUGGAGUCCCUGCUGCUGACUUUUGGUUUUGCUGAUGGGUGCUCCUAUCUGCCUCCUCCCCUCUGUGUGAGCAGUGGGCAGGGCCGGGGGAGAGAGGAGCCAAUAGGGGGGCAUGGCCUCAGCAGGACAAUGGCUUCGCCAUGCUCCGUUGGGCACCCUAGCAGACCCAGACUCCAUGACGGCACCGGGGCACACAAUGCUCGCAGCGGGAGAGGGAGGCUUUGU